ACUGCUUCUUGGCCUUUUAGCUAACAUCAAGUGUAGUAUCUAUUCUUACCAGUUUAAUAUGUGAUAUGUCCUAAAAAAAAUUAAAAAAUGACACAUAUUUUUGAAAUGAUAAUAUUUAAUGAAGUUCUAAGGUGAGUUCUCAAACUUGCUCUUAGGAUACUUAUU
Otolemur garnettii (small-eared galago) is the source of this 165-nucleotide small nuclear RNA. Its record names the gene U2. It matches the Rfam family "U2 spliceosomal RNA". From Rfam's summary of the family: U2 is a small nuclear RNA (snRNA) component of the spliceosome (involved in pre-mRNA splicing). NCBI's taxonomy places the organism in Eukaryota, Metazoa, Chordata, Mammalia, Primates, Galagidae. The record is from Ensembl.